RNAcentral lists this long non-coding RNA (285 nucleotides) under Numida meleagris (helmeted guineafowl). Its description in RNAcentral is "lncRNA (ENSNMEG00000013875.1)". The record is from RNAcentral. Lineage: Eukaryota; Metazoa; Chordata; Aves; Galliformes; Numididae.
GAGAAAACUGUAGCCUGACUGGAAGCAAAGCAAGAGACUACAUAUGAGUCCCUUGAUUCUCCACAUCUUUCAUGCUAGCAAGACCCAGGAAGCUUUAAUAUUUCAGCUGCUCUGCCUCCAGUGGCUGGUCUGUUUGAAGGCUGCGGGGAAGCUGCUGGACUUGAGGAUAUGAUGAAAUUUGGAGCAGUACAGUCCAUGCUGUCUACGCUAGCUAUUUCGAAUGACACAGCAAUAGUACAAGCAAGAAAAGGCUAGUAAGACUUUUCUGUACGAAGUUGCUACACC